UGGGGAAUAUUGGACAAUGGGCGCAAGCCUGAUCCAGCCAUGCCGCGUGGGUGAUGAAGGCCCUAGGGUUGUAAAGCUCUUUUGUGCGGGAAGAUAAUGACUGUACCGCAAGAAUAAGCCCCGGCUAACUUCGUGCCAGCAGCCGCGGUAAUACGAAGGGGGCUAGCGUUGCUCGGAAUCACUGGGCGUAAAGCGCACGGAGGCGGACUAUUAAGUCGGUGGUGAAAUCCUGGAGCUCAACUCCAGAACUGCCUUCGAUACUGGGAGUCUCGAGUUCGGGAGAGGUGAGUGGAACUGCGAGUGUAGAGGUGAAAUUCGUAGAUAUUCGCAAGAACACCAGUGGCGAAGGCGGCUCACUGGCCCGAUACUGACGCUGAGGUGCGAAAGCGUGGGGAGCAA
RNAcentral lists this ribosomal RNA (399 nucleotides) under uncultured bacterium. RNAcentral describes it as "bacterial SSU rRNA". It matches the Rfam family "Bacterial small subunit ribosomal RNA", at positions 355 to 771 of the family's 1533-position model. The record is from RNAcentral.